UAAGUUGGUAGUGAAAUUGUGUGGCUCAACCAUACACCCAUUACCAAAACUGCUGAGCUAGAGGAUGAGAGAGGUUAUUGGAAUUGCUAGUGUAGGAGUGAAAUCCGUAGAUAUUAGUAGGAACACCGAUGGCGUAGGCAGAUAACUGGCUCAUUCCUGACACUAAGGCACGAAAGUGUGGGAGUGAACAGGAUUAGAUACCCUGGUAGUCCACGCCGUAAACUAUGGAUGCUA
Molecule: ribosomal RNA, 234 nt
Filed under: uncultured Candidatus Saccharibacteria bacterium
Lineage: Bacteria; Candidatus Saccharimonadota
Description: partial 16S ribosomal RNA
Rfam family: Bacterial small subunit ribosomal RNA
Source: RNAcentral